Molecule: long non-coding RNA, 1063 nt
Organism: Acipenser ruthenus (sterlet)
Lineage: Eukaryota; Metazoa; Chordata; Actinopteri; Acipenseriformes; Acipenseridae
Exons: 7
Source: RefSeq, a predicted model, not a curated record
ACAGCCUUCACAGAACAGAUGAUUACAUGGAAUGUUCCUCGUGUUCUGCCUCCUCUUGUUCCAACACCACAAAUUACUACCCUUGAUGUUCAAAUGGGAGUUGAUGGCCGCAAGCUUGACCCUGCAAUGAUUCAUAAUAGAGAUUAUAAACUGGAUGUCGGUCCCCAGCUAAUCACUGUAAAAAUUCCUGUGGGAGCUGAUGGUGGAUAUUACAAGAGCCAUGUAUUGGACAACACCUAUGUGAUCUCUUACUCUAUUGAACCAAUGCUGGAGCAUACCUGGCAAGAUGGGCCUGAGAAGACCAAGUACACAGUACUUCAUCCAAUAACCACUCCUUUCAUGCCUCGGCCACCAGUUGUCACAAACAACACUGUUCCUAAAGCCAGAGUGUUCAAUGUGACCCUGGGGACAUUCCUGCCUGAUGUGGAGCUGGUCAAAAUUAUAGUUGGAUUGGAGUCAUUAACUGUGCCAGAAGCCAACCUAAAAGGUUAUAAUGUCCAGGAGCAUGUCUUUCCCAAUGGAUCCAAGACCUACACUCUCCAGGUGCCAUUGAGGACCCCAAUGUGAAGCAAAAGGUAACUCCUCCAGACACCAGAACCUACAUUCUGCCCCUGACCUACUUGCUGAAUAUAGUGCCAGAGAAUACACCCUUUACUCAUCCUGCUGUAGUUGAAGCCAUUCUCAAAGACAUCAUUCUACCUACAGUAACUGGCUACUGUGAUGGUGCUGCAUUCUAUACCAUGGUAACAUAUGGCAACAUGGGUCGCAACUGGGUUCCUUUUGUGGGCUCAAGAGAACUUGGUGGAAGUCUGCUUGCCCUGUACAAGUAUAAUGCCAACGCUACCAAUUUCUGGAUGACUGUGCCAUACAAUUCAGUUGAUGCCACAUAUGAAGUGAUCAGUUCUUCGGGCAUCAGAAGCAGGCUUGACUUGACCUUGAAGGAUGUUGGCACCAUGGUUGUGGUGGCUGACUUUUCUCUGUCCUGCAGUUUCCCUACAAAGAUGAUUGAUUGCUUCACCAAUGGAACUAUGGCAGCUCUCGCUGUGAAAGUGGAAUCUGUCCC